CUGCAUAAUGAGGGCUUUUCUUCCUGGUGAGACUGUUAUGAUUAGAUGUGAUAAACCUAAUCAUAACUUUAAUAAGAAACUCCUUUCACCUUAUUAUUUGCCCAAGCUGUGUGUGGGGUUUUAUUGGCCAUAAACUGUGUUUACUAAUUCCUCAGGCUCAUGAACAAGAGACCCUGGCCUCUUUGGAAAGUUUCCUGGCUAAGUGCUUUCUGGGCAAGUCAACUACUGUGUUUAAAUGCUCUGAAAAAUCAAAAGAGGCUGUUAACUGAGGCACAAGAUCGAAAGGAGCUUCCCUGGCAAUAUGAAGACUCACUGCUCUCAUCAAUGUCAACCUUAUUAAUUGUGCCUUAGAAUGUUCCCUUCUAUCUCCAUCCUCCCACAGUCACUUGGUGAUUCUUAAUUUCAGUGAACUUGAUAGCAUACCAAAGGGUGAGAAAGUCCAUUGAUUGAUAGGUCAAUAAAGGAAGGACUGGCUACCCAGCUGGAGGGAGUUCAGUCAUCAGGUAGCCUCAAGGCAUCAGCUACAACAGAGUUUGUCUCAGCUGCCAAGAUCUGUCUUGCCUGAGGUCAAGUAAUUCUUUCUGGGGACAGGCCCAGGUAGUUGCUGCCCUUUCAGUUUGGGACACAGAGUGAGAGACACAGAGCACGCCUUGAUCCUGUCUUGCAGCCUGGAGUCCAGUUCAGCUGAACCCAAAAGGACCCAGAAACUUAAAUCACCCCAGAAUCACCUUGAUUUGAACAGAUCUGCGAAUAGAAAAGAAAAUUCAUCCACAGUUUUCUUGUUUUCACCUGGCUUUUUGGUUGCCACCAGAUGGAACCACCACAUACAUUAUUUACCUGAAAACCUACAUCUUUGCAAGCUGCUACUGAGGGCAAGCAGCAGUUUGUGGACUCUCACCAGCAUAUGCAGAACCAACAUGGCCAUGCUUCUGGCAGAUUAUGCUGCAGACCUCUCAUCUCCUCUCUGGGGUUUUCUGCUGUAUAUGUACAUGUGCAGCUCAGUGCCCAGCUCAGAAGCGUGCAGGAGUUAACACACCUGAUGAGAGAGGGUGAAGAAGUCUCAAGUCUUCACAGCUAAUGUUGAAAGACUGAACUGAAAUUAAGCUGCUGCUCAAAGGAGAGUUUCCCUACCAGGUGCAACGAAGUUAAUUGCCUCUAAAGACAAAAGCAUCAAUACUCUUUUGAGGAGCAUGACAAGAUGCAGAAUCUCUAUGACAUAGUAUUUAUAGUGUUUGGGUUGAAAGAUUACUCAGCAUAUGGUGAACCAGUCUCAAAAGAAAAGGAAUUCAACUGAGAUCAAUCAUGAGAUGAUUCAGAUGUUGGAAUGAGCUCAGAUUUUAAAUCAGCUAUUGAUUCUCAGAGAAGUUUUUUUUUUUUAAAGCUAAUAAUACACAGAAACAUAUGAAAUCUCAGUAGAGAAAUAGAAUGAAAUGGAAAUUCUAGAGCUGAAAAAAAUAGCCAAAAUUAAAAUCCCCCAGAUAGGCUUAUCAGCAAAAUAGAAAUGAGAGGGGAAGUCAGUGAAUUUAAGGAUGACUCAAUAGAAGACUAAUCUGAAGACAAAGCAAAUAAGAUUGAAAAAAAACUGAGCAGAACCUUGGGGACGUGUGGGCAAUAACAAAAUAGCAAAAACAAAAGGAUAGCGUAAUCAGAGUGCUGAAAGCCAAGGAUAAAGAGGAAAUUUUGAAGCAACCAGAGAAUAAUGAUAUUUUAUGUGAGAUGUACAAGGAAGAUGAACCUGUGAUGAAAGAAAUCAGAACAGCGGGGAAAAGGGGACAGGAACUACUUGGAAAUAGACAUGAGAAAACUUUUGGGGGCUGAUAUCAUGAUAGAGAUUUGGGUUACACAGGUGUGUACUUUUAUUAUAACAGCAAAUAUCCACUUAAGAUUAGUGUAUGUAAUCUCAUUAUGUGUAAACAUAAAUUUUACAUUAAAAGAAAAAAUAACUAAGCUAAAAAUUACAGUUUAUUCUCAAAAACUUUAAAUACUCUGAGGAAAAAGACUCAGCUCAUUUCCCAUCAUUGUGUCCCUUGUGCUGAAUAUAAUGCAUGACAUAGGAUACAUGGUCAA
This is a long non-coding RNA of Bubalus bubalis (water buffalo), 2067 nucleotides long. RefSeq lists it as uncharacterized. The transcript has 7 exons. Lineage: Eukaryota; Metazoa; Chordata; Mammalia; Artiodactyla; Bovidae. The record is from RefSeq and is a predicted model, not a curated record.